ACACAUGCAAGUCGAACGGUAACAGGAAGCAGCUUGCUGCUUCGCUGACAAGUGGCGGACGGGUGAGUAAUGUCUGGGAAACUGCCUGAUGGAGGGGGAUAACUACUGGAAACGGUGGCUAAUACCGCAUAACGUCGCAAGACCAAAGAGGGGGACCUUCGGGCCUCUUGCCAUCAGAUGUGCCCAGAUGGGAUUAGCUUGUUGGUGAGGUAACGGCUCACCAAGGCGACGAUCCCUAGCUGGUCUGAGAGGAUGACCAGCCACACUGGAACUGAGACACGGUCCAGACUCCUACGGGAGGCAGCAGUGGGGAAUAUUGCACAAUGGGCGCAAGCCUGAUGCAGCCAUGCCGCGUGUAUGAAGAAGGCCUUCGGGUUGUAAAGUACUU
This 388-nucleotide ribosomal RNA is filed under the name Salmonella enterica subsp. enterica serovar Stanley. RNAcentral's name for it is "bacterial SSU rRNA". It matches the Rfam family "Bacterial small subunit ribosomal RNA", at positions 51 to 435 of the family's 1533-position model. Lineage: Bacteria; Pseudomonadati; Pseudomonadota; Gammaproteobacteria; Enterobacterales; Enterobacteriaceae. The record is from RNAcentral.